Molecule: ribosomal RNA, 596 nt
Filed under: Malassezia pachydermatis
Lineage: Eukaryota; Fungi; Basidiomycota; Malasseziomycetes; Malasseziales; Malasseziaceae
Description: eukaryotic LSU rRNA
Rfam family: Eukaryotic large subunit ribosomal RNA
Source: RNAcentral
UUAAGCAUAUCAAUAAGCGGAGGAGAAGAAACUAACAAGGAUUCCCCUAGUAACGGCGAGCGAAGCGGGAAGAGCUCAAAUUUGAAAGCUGGCACCUUCGGUGUCCGCGUUGUAAUCUCGAGACGUGUUUUCCGUGUGGCGCUAUGGACAAGUCCCUUGGAACAGGGCAUCGUAGAGGGUGAAAAUCCCGUACUUGCCAUGGCUGUACCAUGCUUUGUGAUACACGCUCUAAGAGUCGAGUUGUUUGGGAUUGCAGCUCAAAAUGGGUGGUAGACUCCAUCUAAAGCUAAAUAUCGGGGAGAGACCGAUAGCGAACAAGUACCGUGAGGGAAAGAUGAAAAGCACUUUGGAAAGAGAGUUAAAAGUACGUGAAAUUGUCGAAAGGGAAGCGCUUGAAGUCAGCCAUGCUGCUUGAGACUCAGCCUUGCUUUUGCUUGGUGUAUUUCUCGGUAGCAAGCCAGCAUUGGUUCGAGUCGUCGGAGAAGGGUAUGAGAAAUGUGGCAUCCUCGGAUGUGUUAUAGACUUGUACUGGAUACGACGAUUUGGAUCAAGGAACGCAGUGUGCCUCUGGCGGGUCUUCGGACACCUUCACACUU